RNAcentral lists this ribosomal RNA (397 nucleotides) under uncultured bacterium. RNAcentral's name for it is "partial 16S ribosomal RNA". It matches the Rfam family "Bacterial small subunit ribosomal RNA", at positions 523 to 918 of the family's 1533-position model. The record is from RNAcentral.
AUACGUAGGAGACAAGCGUUAUCCGGAUUUACUGGGCGUAAAGGGCGUGUAGGCGGUCUUGUAAGUCAGAAGUGAAAUUUCUGAGCUCAACUCGGGCGCUGCUUCUGAAACUGCCGGACUUGAGUGCUGGAGGGGAUAGCGGAAUUCCGAGUGUAGCGGUGAAAUGCGCAGAUAUUAGGAAGAACACCGGUGGCGAAGGCGGCUACCUGGACAGUAACUGACGCUUAGGCGCGAAAGCGAGGGUAGCAAACAGGAUUAGAUACCCCGGUAGUCUACGCCGUAAACGAUGAAUACUAGGUGUAGGGGGUGUCGACUCCCUCUGUGCCGCAGUUAACACAAUAAGUAUUCCGCCUGGGGAGUACGGCCGCAAGGUUGAAACUCAAAUGAAUUGACGGGG